This 266-nucleotide ribosomal RNA is filed under the name uncultured prokaryote. RNAcentral's name for it is "partial 16S ribosomal RNA". It matches the Rfam family "Bacterial small subunit ribosomal RNA", at positions 524 to 789 of the family's 1533-position model. The record is from RNAcentral.
UACGUAGGUGGCGAGCGUUGUCCGGAUUUACUGGGCGUAAAGGGAGCGUAGGCGGACUUUUAAGUGAGAUGUGAAAUACCCGGGCUCAACUUGGGUGCUGCAUUUCAAACUGGAAGUCUAGAGUGCAGGAGAGGAGAAUGGAAUUCCUAGUGUAGCGGUGAAAUGCGUAGAGAUUAGGAAGAACACCAGUGGCGAAGGCGAUUCUCUGGACUGUAACUGACGCUGAGGCUCGAAAGCAUGGGGAGCAAACAGGAUUAGAUACCCGU